GUGCUAGAAACACACACAUUUUUAAAGAGUGAUGGCCUGUAGGGAGUACAAAGAGAUAUCACCUUAGAUCUUUGUGGUUUUAUUUUUUAACUGUGAGUAUAUACUAGAGUCACAGUAAGAAGAAAAAACUUAAAACAGAAAUUUAGGUGGUAAGAAGUCUAAGGGAUAAGGUAUAAAAGCAAUAUAUACUAUAAAAAGUAGAUCAUGAUCCCACUUUUACUGAAGAUUAUCAUUAAUAUGUCAGUGUNNNNNNNNNNNNNNNNNNNNNNNNNNNNNNNNNNNNNCUAUUUUUUUAAAAUAUUUUCUUUUUUAAAAAUAAUAAAAUUUGUUAUUUUUGUUGCUAACAGAUUAUUGGUUUUAUAUUAUUAAUUUCUAUAAUAUAUGAAAUUUUAUGACUGUAUAUUUUUAUUCUUUUUGAAUGCACAAAGUUAAAUAAGUAUAUAUUUUAAAUCUACACAGAGCAAAAUGGAAACAUUUAAUAUCAACCCACAGAAUCAGAAUUAGAGAACAGAGAACUAAACAAGACAUCACAGAUUAUUCUAACCAACACUUACAUAUAAUCAAAUGAGGCCAGAGAAAAGAACUUGUCCAUGACUAGUCAACAGCAAAAACAAACAAACAAACAAACAAAAAGAACACACGGGUACCCUAAUUCCUAAUUCAGGGUUAUAUAUAACCUCUUUAAAUUAGCAUUUUCCAACUACGAUUCACAGAAUACAGUUGAGAAAUUUAGACUUAGGGGCAUAAUUGUGACACUGAGUCCAGAUAUUUUAUUGUUGUCUAGUUUAAAUGCUAAAUUCUUUACUUUUUAAAGAUUAAAAUAGGAUAUCAGUUUCUCAUUAAAAUGGCUUUUCAGAUUUCUUUCAACUAACGGAAGCAAGCAGAGAUGAAAAGGCAAAACUUAAGCUUUCUCAGUUUACAAAUACUAGUCUGCCACCACUUCCUAUCUUUUAAGACACACCUUUUCUACACCGAAAUUCUAUCCUAUAAAUCUCACAUGCUCUUAUGUAAUAGAAGAUACGACAUAAUACAACUAACAAAGAGUUCAGGAGUUCUGUUACUGGAACAACAGAGUACAUACCUCUUAGAUCAACUAAUGAAAAGCUUUAAAAAUAGGAUUGAUUUCUAUAAACCAGAAGAAGACAUCUUUCAAAAAUACAAAGUCUUUGUUUAUUCAAAGCUAAGUAAUUAA
This 1192-nucleotide long non-coding RNA is filed under the name Capra hircus (goat). Its description in RNAcentral is "lncRNA (ENSCHIG00010025725.1)". The record is from RNAcentral. Lineage: Eukaryota; Metazoa; Chordata; Mammalia; Artiodactyla; Bovidae.